UGGGGAAUAUUGGACAAUGGGGGCAACCCUGAUCCAGCAAUGCCGCGUGUGUGAAGAAGGCCUGCGGGUUGUAAAGCACUUUAGGUAACGAGGAAGGGUGUUGUGUUAAUAGCACAAUACAUUGACGUUAGUUACAGAAUAAGCACCGGCUAACUCUGUGCCAGCAGCCGCGGUAAUACAGAGGGUGCAAGCGUUAAUCGGAAUGACUGGGCGUAAAGGGCGCGUAGGUGGCAGCUUAAGUUAGAUGUGAAAUCCCCGGGCUUAACCUGGGAACUGCAUUUGAUACUGGGCAGCUAGAGUAUGGGAGAGGGCAGUGGAAUUUCCGGUGUAGCGGUGAAAUGCGUAGAUAUCGGAAGGAACACCAGUGGCGAAGGCGACUGCCUGGCCUGAUACUGACACU
RNAcentral lists this ribosomal RNA (400 nucleotides) under uncultured bacterium. RNAcentral's name for it is "bacterial SSU rRNA". It matches the Rfam family "Bacterial small subunit ribosomal RNA", at positions 355 to 747 of the family's 1533-position model. The record is from RNAcentral.